ACAGCAGCAGCCGCGGGAAUACGAAGGGUGCAAGCGUUACUCGGAAUUACUGGGCGUAAAGCGUGCGUAGGUGGUGGUUUAAGUCCGUUGUGAAAGCCCUGGGCUCAACCUGGGAAUUGCAGUGGAUACUGGGUCACUAGAGUGUGGUAGAGGAUAGUGGAAUUUCCGGUGUAGCAGUGAAAUGCGUAGAGAUCGGAAGGAACAUCUGUGGCGAAGGCGACUAUCUGGGCCAUUACUGACACUGAGGCACGAAAGCGUGGGGAGCAAACAGGAUUAGAUACCCGUGUAGUCCCUGUCUCUUAUAC
Molecule: ribosomal RNA, 305 nt
Filed under: uncultured bacterium
Lineage: Bacteria
Description: partial 16S ribosomal RNA
Rfam family: Bacterial small subunit ribosomal RNA
Source: RNAcentral